GGAGUACGGUCGCAAGGCUGAAACUCAAAGGAAUNGACGGGGGCCCGCACAAGACGGUGGAGCAUGUGGUUUAAUUCGACGCAACGCGAAGAACCUUACCUGGGCUCGAAAUGUACAGGAAUCCGGUAGAAAUAUCGGCGCCCAGCAAUGGGCCUGUAUAUAGGUGCUGCAUGGCUGUNGUCAGCUCGUGUCGUGAGAUGUUGGGUUAAGUCCCGCAACGAGCGCAACCCUUACCUCCAGUUGCCACCAUUCAGUUGGGCACUCUGGCGGAACCGCCUCGGAUAACGGGGAGGAAGGUGGGGAUGACGUCAAGUCCUCAUGGCCUUUAUGUCCAGGGCUACACACGUGCUACAAUGGCCGGUACAAACCGUUGCAAACCCGCGAGGGGGAGCUAAUCGGAAAAAGCCGGCCUCAGUUCGGAUCGCAGUCUGCAACUCGACUGCGUGAAGCUGGAUAUCGCUAGUAAUCGCGGAUCAGAA
This 479-nucleotide ribosomal RNA is filed under the name Acidobacteria bacterium L768_HDm. RNAcentral's name for it is "bacterial SSU rRNA". It matches the Rfam family "Bacterial small subunit ribosomal RNA", at positions 877 to 1354 of the family's 1533-position model. Lineage: Bacteria; Pseudomonadati; Acidobacteriota. The record is from RNAcentral.